Molecule: ribosomal RNA, 303 nt
Filed under: Clostridioides difficile
Lineage: Bacteria; Bacillati; Bacillota; Clostridia; Peptostreptococcales; Peptostreptococcaceae
Description: bacterial SSU rRNA
Rfam family: Bacterial small subunit ribosomal RNA
Source: RNAcentral
UAUCAAAGGUGAGCCAGUACAGGAUGGACCCGCGUCUGAUUAGCUAGUUGGUAAGGUAACGGCUUACCAAGGCGACGAUCAGUAGCCGACCUGAGAGGGUGAUCGGCCACAUUGGAACUGAGACACGGUCCAAACUCCUACGGGAGGCAGCAGGGGGGAAUAUUGCACAAUGGGCGAAAGUCUGAUGCAGCAACGCCGCGUGAGUGAUGAAGGCCUUCGGGUCGUAAAACUCUGUCCUCAAGGAAGAUAAUGACGGUACUUGAGGAGGAAGCCCCGGCUAACUACGUGCCAGCAGCCGCGGUA